Molecule: ribosomal RNA, 327 nt
Filed under: uncultured Synergistaceae bacterium
Lineage: Bacteria; Thermotogati; Synergistota; Synergistia; Synergistales; Synergistaceae
Description: bacterial SSU rRNA
Rfam family: Bacterial small subunit ribosomal RNA
Source: RNAcentral
CUCGUGUCGUGAGAUGUCGGGUUAAGUCCCGCAACGAGCGCAACCCCUGCAUCCAGUUGCCAUCGGGUAAUGCCGGGCACUCGUGGAAGGACUGCCAUCGACAAGAUGGAGGAAGGUGGGGAGUGACGUCAAGUCAUCAUGGCCCUUAUGUCCAGGGCGACACACGUGCUACAAUGGCCGGCACAACGGGAAGCGAGUUCGCGAGGACAAGCGGAUCCCUUAAAGCCGGUCGCAGUUCGGAUUGAAGUCUGCAACUCGACUUCAUGAAGCUGGAAUCGCUAGUAAUCGUGGAUCAGCCAAGCCGCGGUGAAUACGUUCCCGGGCCUU